Molecule: ribosomal RNA, 364 nt
Filed under: Kitasatospora albolonga
Lineage: Bacteria; Bacillati; Actinomycetota; Actinomycetes; Kitasatosporales; Streptomycetaceae
Description: bacterial SSU rRNA
Rfam family: Bacterial small subunit ribosomal RNA
Source: RNAcentral
GAACGGGUGAGUAACGUGGGCAAUCUGCCCUUCACUCUGGGACAACCCUGGAAACGGGUAAUACCGGAUAACACUCCGGCCCGGGGGGGGUUAAAAGUCCGGCGGUGAAGGAUGAGCCCGCGGCCUAUCAGCUUGUUGGUGGGGUAAUGGCCUACCAGGCGACGACGGGUAGCCGGCCUGAGAGGGCGACCGGCCACACUGGGACUGAGACACGGCCCAGACUCCUACGGGAGGCAGCAGUGGGGAAUAUUGCACAAUGGGCGAAAGCCUGAUGCAGCGACGCCGCGUGAGGGAUGACGGCCUUCGGGUUGUAAACCUCUUUCAGCAGGGAAGAAGGACGGUACCUGCAGAAGAAGCGCCGGCU